Molecule: ribosomal RNA, 446 nt
Filed under: uncultured bacterium
Lineage: Bacteria
Description: partial 16S ribosomal RNA
Rfam family: Bacterial small subunit ribosomal RNA
Source: RNAcentral
UGCCAGACUCCUACGGGAGGCAGCAGUGGGGGAUAUUGCACAAUGGGGGGAACCCUGAUGCAGCGACGCCGCGUGGGUGAAGAAGCGCCUCGGCGCGUAAAGCCCUGUCAGCAGGGAAGAAAAUGACGGUACCUGAAGAAGAAGCCCCGGCUAACUACGUGCCAGCAGCCGCGGUAAUACGUAGGGGGCAAGCGUUAUCCGGAUUUACUGGGUGUAAAGGGGGCGCAGACGGCGAUGCAAGCCAGGAGUGAAAGCCCACGGCCCAACCGUGGGACUGCUCUGGAAACUGUGCGGCUUGAGUGCGGGAGGGGCAGGCGGAAUUCCUAGUGUAGCGGUGAAAUGCGUAGAUAUUAGGAGGAACACCGGCGGCGAAGGCGGCCUGCUGGACCGUAACUGACGUUGAGGCUCGAAAGCGUGGGGAGCAAACAGGAUUAGAUACCCGCGUA